AAGGCCGAGAGGACUGAGCCCU
RNAcentral lists this microRNA (22 nucleotides) under Ovis aries (sheep). RNAcentral describes it as "miRNA 5". Lineage: Eukaryota; Metazoa; Chordata; Mammalia; Artiodactyla; Bovidae. The record is from RNAcentral.